RNAcentral lists this long non-coding RNA (1026 nucleotides) under Anas platyrhynchos platyrhynchos (common mallard). RNAcentral describes it as "lncRNA (ENSAPLG00000025461.1)". The record is from RNAcentral. Lineage: Eukaryota; Metazoa; Chordata; Aves; Anseriformes; Anatidae.
AUGAUGUUAGGAACGAUGUUAAGUUUACUGGGAGAUUUACAAUGGAUCAGGCCAGUAGUCGGGAUUCCGAAUGAACUGUUAAAUCCCCUUCGGCCGUUAUUAAAAGGAACUGAUCCUGCUUCAAAAGUGACACUAUCAGAAAAACAACAAGAAAUACUACAACAAAUCGCAUCUUUGAUCACGAGUGUCACGCAUCGACGUAUAUCUGAUAAGCCACUCGAUCUUACCGUUCUAUGUGGCUCAAAAUGCCUGAUGGGUGCCAUAACACAGCAAAAAAUAAAAACGGGGGAGAAGGGAGGAGAAACUGUGGUAUUAGAAUGGAUAGCUCCUCCGUUACAACCUCGACGAAAAAUUCAAGAAAAAAUUGCAACAUUAGCAGAAUUAGUAAAGAAGGGGAGGAAUCGAAUAUUGCAAGUGGAUGGGGUUCCUCCAAAUAUUAUCUGGUUACCCAUGAAACCAGGCGAUUUGGAAUGGUAUAUACAAAACUCCGAAGAGUUACAAGCUGCACUACUACAGGAUGGCGCUACUAUAGUAGCAAAAACAUUACAAUCAACAGCUCUGACAUGGAUGGAAAACCAGGGAUGGAUAACUAAGCCAAAACGAUCCUCUAUCCCGCUUAAGAAUGCAGUGACAGUUUUCACUGAUGCAGGAAAACGUUCUCGAACUGCUGCAGUGACUUGGAAGGAUGAGUAUGGUUGGAAACAUCAAAUUUUACAAGCCCAAGAUAAAGACAUUACAGAUAUUAGAGAGAGGGUGGAUAAAACCUUAUUUGUUCUCAAUCAUUUGUGCGUAUUUGGUGAUGAUGAUGAACCACCCGCGACACGUCAUUACAUUAAGUCUGAAAAUGAUAAUAAAUGUAUUAUGAGAGUACUGUACCGAGAUAUGAAAACGGGACAAUGGCUGCGGCCUGCUGAUGUGAAUUAUAUGGGGCGAGGUUAUGUGUGUAUCUCUUCCCCUACAGGGCCAACCUGGGUUCCUAGUCGAUGUGUUAAACCAGCCAGAAGAAAAGUCAUCAAGUACGAAUAA